This 433-nucleotide ribosomal RNA is filed under the name uncultured bacterium. RNAcentral describes it as "partial 16S ribosomal RNA". It matches the Rfam family "Bacterial small subunit ribosomal RNA", at positions 29 to 507 of the family's 1533-position model. The record is from RNAcentral.
AACGAACGCUGGCGGCAUGCCCAACACAUGCAAGUCGAACGAGACCUUCGGGUCUAGUGGCGCACGGGUGCGUAACGCGUGGGAACCUGCCCUUAGGUUCGGAAUAACUCCCCGAAAGGGGUGCUAAUACCGGAUAAUGUCUUCGGACCAAAGAUUUAUCGCCUUUGGAUGGGCCCGCGUUGGAUUAGCUAGUUGGUAGGGUAAAAGCCUACCAAGGCGACGAUCCAUAGAUGGUCUGAGAGGCUGAUCAGCGACACUGGGACUGAGACACGGCCCAGACUCCUACGGGAUGCAGCAGUGGGUAAUAUUGGACCAUGGGCUAAAGCCUGAUCCUGCUAUGCCGCUUGAGUGAUGUAGGCCUUAGGGUUGUAAAGCUCUUUUACCCGGGAUGAUAAUGACAGUACCGGGAGAAUAAGCUCCGGCUAACUCCGUG